UGCUCUUAAAGGUAGACCUCCUUUCUUUCUAGUCAGUUGUUUGACAAAUCUUCUUCUUUCCCUAGAACUCUUCCCUACGCAAGUCAUCUUUGUUUUCCCAUUCCCAAUCCGCAGGCUAACCUACACAAGCCAUCUUUAUUUUCCUAUUUGACUUUGAAGACCUUUGCUUUAUUCCUCUAAUCUUUGUUUUCCUAUUUGACUUUGCAAAUCUUUACUUUAUUCCUCUAAGCUAAGGAUGAGGAGCAAAAGAAGAAGAUUAAUGCCGGAGACAAAGACUUAAUGGGAGACACAGGACAAGCAUCUGAAAUUCCAUUUAAACACGGUACCAAAGAUUGUGUUUUACACUGGGGACUGAGGCUUGCCGCUCUUGAUGGGAACACAAGGCGGAGUUAAUUGGCAGCGUCUACCAAAGGGCAGGGGAUAACAAGCCUUUCAAAUUAUACAACAACAGCCAAGCCUGCCUUAGUCCUAAAACUUUUUGGAAUUUGCUACGGAUCUCAACGCAUUAAUCAGGACUAAUAUUUCAGCUUCUAAAGGUGAAAGAAAAUUUGCAAGUAUCUUGGUCAAUGGUGUUUUGUUGGAUGGAAUUGGGUGAUUGGCUGUCAUACAGGGCAAAAGGAGAUGAUACUUUUAGUUUGUGCAACACGGUGUGCAAAUGGACAUAUCUUGGUCAGGGAUAUAUGCAGAAAGUCAAUGAAAAAGAUUCCUGAGAUAUGGAAGCUUGUGGAUGGGAUGAUGACUUCUGGGAGUAGAUUGGAUUAGGCGAUCUUUUAGAUGGGCAUCAUGCUAAGAUAGGAACUGGGUCUUGUAGCAGGAAUUCAUUUUGAAACUUCACUGAUUGAUGCUCAUGCUGGUGGCGUGGGGGUAAUGGAAAGUGUGCCACAUUUGGACUCUGAAGCUAAAGAGUGUGAUAUGGAAGCUAUAUGCCACCACAUGGUGUUAGUCUGUGGAACUUCUACCUGCCAUAUGGCCAUAUCAAGGAGCAAGUUAUUCAUUCCAGGGGUCAGGGGACCGUUCUGGUCUGGUACACUUCUGGAACUUAUGUUCAGCAUUUAUCUCAUGGAAUUUGGAUCAUAAUGUGUUGUUUAAAAUUUGACAGGCUGAAGCAUCAUUGUUGAGGCGACUAAUCUUUUACAUGUAUUUUGCAUUACUUAAAAAGUGAUUAAGUAAUAAAAACAUUUUUAGAAAAAUAAGCGGAAAGUAUCAACCUUAGGCAUAGAAAGUAGCCUUGAAACAGUUACAUUCUAAAUUCAAGAAGCAAUAAAGUUCAAGAAAGAAUAAGUCAAAUGAAGAUGGAGUGGUAUGUGCAGUUUUAUUUUAAGAUUUUUUAAAAUUGCCAAUGUGAGAUUGGGAUCUAACAGGCAAUCUAAGCCCAUCCCUCUCCAGAUCAUUAUCACCAUUCACCGGAACCUAGGAUUUUGGGGCUAACUUGUUGAAAGUCGGUCAUCCUUUACUUGUUAUGCUGCUGCAGUCCAUUUCCUGUUACACAUUCCAAAACUACAACGACUGGCAUAAGUGCAAACCUUAUCAACUAAUCUCUCAUUAAGUUAUUGACAGCAGCACUGCAUUAGUCAAUUUAGAAUUUUGUUUUUUCUCUUUUGGAAGUGCCUUCCAUCACAUCAUUGUUAGACUUAUGAGAGAAAUAGAACCCACAGAAGCAUCAACAUGAUUUUGAUACUCCCUCGGCCUAGUGGAGGCUGGGCUCCUGUCCUAAAGAAAGUUAAAAGAUCUGAAAGUUUAAAGCCUGAAGUGAAUGACCUAGGGCCCGUUUGGUUUAGAGGUGUCUCAGUUUUCAUAACUCAGUACUUAGUUUUCAUAACUUAAACUUAAAACCCAUAACUCAUAACUCAAACUCCACUAUCACUCAAAAAAUCCAACACUUUUGUUUGGUCACAAAACUCAACCAUGUAUCUCAGUUUUUAACUUCACUUUUUGCCAAAAUAAUGGACCCUCCUACUGACACUACACAGAAGAAUAUGGUUGCUACCCAUGUUCCUUUUUUUUUUUUUUUCUGC
Quercus lobata is the source of this 2015-nucleotide RNA transcript. It is a transcript of the gene named FGGY carbohydrate kinase domain-containing protein-like, with no coding region annotated. The record is from RefSeq and is a predicted model, not a curated record. The transcript is spliced from 6 exons. NCBI's taxonomy places the organism in Eukaryota, Viridiplantae, Streptophyta, Magnoliopsida, Fagales, Fagaceae.